This 538-nucleotide ribosomal RNA is filed under the name Fusarium equiseti. RNAcentral describes it as "eukaryotic LSU rRNA". The stretch from base 192 to 345 matches the Rfam family "5.8S ribosomal RNA". Lineage: Eukaryota; Fungi; Ascomycota; Sordariomycetes; Hypocreales; Nectriaceae. The record is from RNAcentral.
CCCGGGUUGACAGUCGCAUGGUGACCGGCGGAGGGAUCAUUACCGAGUUUACAACUCCCAAACCCCUGUGAACAUACCUAUACGUUGCCUCGGCGGAUCAGCCCGCGCCCCGUAAAACGGGACGGCCCGCCCGAGGACCCCUAAACUCUGUUUUUAGUGGAACUUCUGAGUAAAACAAACAAAUAAAUCAAAACUUUCAACAACGGAUCUCUUGGUUCUGGCAUCGAUGAAGAACGCAGCAAAAUGCGAUAAGUAAUGUGAAUUGCAGAAUUCAGUGAAUCAUCGAAUCUUUGAACGCACAUUGCGCCCGCCAGUAUUCUGGCGGGCAUGCCUGUUCGAGCGUCAUUUCAACCCUCAAGCUCAGCUUGGUGUUGGGACUCGCGGUAACCCGCGUUCCCCAAAUCGAUUGGCGGUCACGUCGAGCUUCCAUAGCGUAGUAAUCAUACACCUCGUUACUGGUAAUCGUCGCGGCCACGCCGUAAAACCCCAACUUCUGAAUGUUGACCUCGGAUCAGGUAGGAAUACCCGCUGAACUUAA